Molecule: non-coding RNA, 72 nt
Organism: Phrynosoma platyrhinos (Desert horned lizard)
Lineage: Eukaryota; Metazoa; Chordata; Lepidosauria; Squamata; Phrynosomatidae
Source: the annotation of a GenBank genome assembly
GCCAGCAUGCUGUAGUGGUUUGAGCAUUGGACCACAACUCUGAAGAUCAGGGUUCGAUUCCCUGCUCAGCCA